This is a long non-coding RNA of Musca domestica (house fly), 543 nucleotides long. RefSeq lists it as uncharacterized. The record is from RefSeq and is a predicted model, not a curated record. The transcript is spliced from 3 exons. Lineage: Eukaryota; Metazoa; Arthropoda; Insecta; Diptera; Muscidae.
UUCUCUCUUAGAAAGAAGUUGCUGAACAAUUUCAGCUGAAAAACAUAUCCCGACAGAUCUUAUGUUGCAUUUCAAAAUUAAUUCUUUCUUAACAGCGGAAUCACAAGACCUAGACGAAACCCACAAAAUAUUUCCUCAACCAAAGAAUUCUACUCAUUGACGUUGGAUUUGGAAUAUUGGCCGUUAUUACAAUUUCGUGCACUUAUCAUUUUUUCAUUUACCGAGUAUUUGGUGUCGCUAAUGGGUCUGGCUGGAUUAUUUAUUGGCACCAGUUAUCUAACAAUGUAUGAGGUUUUCUAUAAUAUAUUUGUACGUGUUGGAUUUUCCUAUGUUGUCAAUUGGAAUUAUUUGGAGAAGAAAUUCAAAGAACAAGAAGAAAAAGAAAGUUCCCAACCACCGCCUUGCAUUGAUAUGUCAUUGAAAUUAAAGAAACAUAAAUAAACCAAACGCCUGAAAGUAUGCUUUAAAUUCUUAUACAAAUAUCAUUUAACUUGUGUGCAGUUAUUAACCCUCAAUGUCUAUGGUAUUUAUGUUAAUAAUGUA